ACAGCCGCGGUAAUACGGAGGGUGCGAGCGUUAAUCGGAAUUACUGGGCGUAAAGACGCAUGCAGGUGGUUUGUUAAGUUCAGAUGUGAAAGACCCGGGGCGUCAACCUCCGGAAUAGCAUUUGUAAACUAGGCAGACUAGAGUACUGUAGAGGGGGGUAGGAAGUUUCUAGGUGUAGCGGUGAAAUAGCGUAGAGAUCUGAAGGAAUACCGGUGGCGAAGGCGGCCCCCUCGGACAGAUACUGACACUCAGAUGCGAAAGCGUGGGGAGCAAACAGGAUUAGAUACCCCUGGUAG
This 296-nucleotide ribosomal RNA is filed under the name uncultured bacterium. Its description in RNAcentral is "partial 16S ribosomal RNA". It matches the Rfam family "Bacterial small subunit ribosomal RNA", at positions 511 to 793 of the family's 1533-position model. The record is from RNAcentral.